ACAGCAGUCGCCGCGGGAAUACGAAGGGGGCUAGCGUUGCUCGGAAUGACUGGGCGUAAAGGGCGCGUAGGCGGAUGGCGCAGUCAGAUGUGAAAUUCCUGGGCUUAACCUGGGGGCUGCAUUUGAGACGCGUGGUCUGGAGUGUGAAAGAGGGUCGUGGAAUUCCCAGUGUAGAGGUGAAAUUCGUAGAUAUUGGGAAGAACACCGGUGGCGAAGGCGGCGACCUGGUUCAUGACUGACACUGAGGCGCGAAAGCGUGGGGAGCAAACAGGAUUAGAGACCCCAGUAGUCCCUGUCUCUUAUAC
RNAcentral lists this ribosomal RNA (305 nucleotides) under uncultured bacterium. RNAcentral describes it as "partial 16S ribosomal RNA". It matches the Rfam family "Bacterial small subunit ribosomal RNA", at positions 508 to 807 of the family's 1533-position model. The record is from RNAcentral.